RNAcentral lists this unclassified non-coding RNA (204 nucleotides) under Hevea brasiliensis (rubber tree). Lineage: Eukaryota; Viridiplantae; Streptophyta; Magnoliopsida; Malpighiales; Euphorbiaceae. The record is from RNAcentral.
GAAACCACUCUUGACCUUAUCUGCGCAGCAGAACAUAUGGACAAGAGGCAGCGAAAUAUAUAAUUUCAUAAUCAAAUUCUUAUCUCCUUUUCAGUUCAUCCAAACAAGUAAAAAUUGCUAACUGAAAAUCUAUUAAAUUAGUUCCCCAUAAAGAAUGAUAAAUCAAUGGAGAGAAGAUAUACCCUCUUCAGGAUUCUGAAACUU